GCGAGUCAUUGUAGUAAUACAAGGCAGACGGCUCAGUAACGCGUCCUUUCCUAACCUAUGGACGGGAAUAACCUCGGGAAACUGACCCUAAUGCCCGAUAGAACAUUAUGCCUGGAAUGGUUUAUGUUCCAAAUGAUUUAUCGCCGUAGGAUGGGACUGCGCCCUAUCAGUUUGUUGGUGAGGUAAUGGCCCACCAAGACUAUUACAGGUACGGGCUCUGAGAGGAGUAGCCCGGAGAUGGGUACUGAGACACGGACCCAGGCCCUAUGGGGCGCAGCAGGCGAGAAAACUUUGCAAUGUGCGAAAGCACGACAAGGUUAAUCCGAGUGGUUUCUGCUAAAGGAACCUUUUGUCGGUCCUAGAAACACUGAUGAUUAAGGGGUGGUUAUGUUCUG
RNAcentral lists this ribosomal RNA (395 nucleotides) under uncultured crenarchaeote. Its description in RNAcentral is "bacterial SSU rRNA". It matches the Rfam family "Archaeal small subunit ribosomal RNA", at positions 53 to 455 of the family's 1478-position model. The record is from RNAcentral. Lineage: Archaea; Thermoproteati; Thermoproteota.